CGGAAGGUCCGGGCGUUAUCCGGAUUUAUUGGGUUUAAGGGAGCGCAGGCCGCCCGAUAAGCGUGUUGUGAAAUGUACCGGCUCAACCGGUGAGUUGCAGCGCGAACUGUCAGGCUUGAGUGCACGGUAAGCAGGCGGAAUUCAUGGUGUAGCGGUGAAAUGCUUAGAUAUCAUGAGGAACUCCGAUUGCGAAGGCAGCUUGCUGCAGUGCGACUGACGCUUAGGCUCGAAGGUGCGGGUAUCAAACAGGAUU
Molecule: ribosomal RNA, 253 nt
Filed under: uncultured bacterium
Lineage: Bacteria
Description: partial 16S ribosomal RNA
Rfam family: Bacterial small subunit ribosomal RNA
Source: RNAcentral